This 100-nucleotide non-coding RNA is filed under the name uncultured Nitzschia. Lineage: Eukaryota; Bacillariophyta; Bacillariophyceae; Bacillariales; Bacillariaceae. The record is from RNAcentral.
AUAUAUUCAGGAUGAAAGAUUGAAAAGAUCGAAAAGAAAGAAACUUUUGAAUGGAAGAGUAGUCAGUCGUGCCACAUAUACCGUGCUUUUUUGUUGUUGU